GAACCCCAGUGACUCUGUGAGCCAUUUAUGCAACAGAAGCUUGUGUGUCAAGCCCGAACAUUUAAACAUAGAGCCCCAUUCCACCAACAUGGAUCGGAGGACAUGUUUUCAGUUCGGACAGUGUAGGUGGCAUGGGACUGAGCCAGCCUGCAUAUUUGGUAAUUACAUGAAUACCACAAGCUUCACCAAGCUUCUAUUAUUCAUAUAAAUACACUUAAAGUACAUCAAUGCCUUUUUUUUCCCUUCUAUAUCUAUUUUAAUAAGGUAUUUUUGCCAUUUUAGGUAGAGGAAACCUCGAGGCUGAUACACGGGCCACGUUAUAGGUCUUUUUGCGAAGAAGUGCCAGAUCAGAGGACAUCAUUGACUGUAGUAGGGCUGGGACAUAGACCGUGUUCGUUAGUAAGUCAGGAUGAACUUUGGAUGAAGCAGGAACCCGUAACAUGUUUACAUAGCGAAUCCUGUUAGCACGCGGACGCAAGGGCUUAGCUUGGGUUUGAGAGCCGUCUACAUCCCGAAAGGUUGGAGACUACAUGAGACUUUGACAGAUGGCGG
Dreissena polymorpha is the source of this 552-nucleotide long non-coding RNA. RefSeq lists it as uncharacterized. The record is from RefSeq and is a predicted model, not a curated record. Lineage: Eukaryota; Metazoa; Mollusca; Bivalvia; Myida; Dreissenidae. The transcript has 3 exons.